GACUUUAUAUUCAAUAAUGAUAUUAGAUUGCAAAUCUGAAGGAGUAAUUUAUUUACUAAAGUUU
RNAcentral lists this transfer RNA (64 nucleotides) under Botanophila rubrifrons. RNAcentral's name for it is "tRNA-Cys". Lineage: Eukaryota; Metazoa; Arthropoda; Insecta; Diptera; Anthomyiidae. The record is from RNAcentral.